RNAcentral lists this long non-coding RNA (4339 nucleotides) under Sus scrofa (pig). Its description in RNAcentral is "lncRNA (ENSSSCG00000063430.1)". The record is from RNAcentral. Lineage: Eukaryota; Metazoa; Chordata; Mammalia; Artiodactyla; Suidae.
CAUAAACAAACAACCAUAGCCCAUGUCAAAAUAAUUGACUCAAAAUAUUAUACAUCUUACAAAAUAUAUGGCCACCUGAAGCAUAUACAUUUCCUUUUUGAACAAUAUCAGAGUGUGAUCAUACUUCUCUUACAAAGAAACCACAUGCUAGAUAAGUGAACUUUUAACAAUAUUUCAAAGGAUUUAGGGCCAUUCAACUCUAUAAGUGAAAACGUAAGAAGCUGCAUUUGUCUCUAAGGUAGGUACAACUAAUUUUAUUUCUGCAACAAUCCAAAUUGGAGUGGGAAACUGAGUAGUAAUGAAACAUCACUUGCAUUGUGUGACACAUAUGAAACUUAACACACAAAAAAUUAAGGAAUCUUGACUACUGAAAUAAUAUGGUAUGAAGACAGAUAAUAUGCUUAUUUUCUAAAACUCUUUAUCUCAAUUGUUGCCAACUGUUUAAUGACUCAGAAUUGGAAAAUUGUGAGCCUCACAUAAACUCAAUUUUACAAACAGAAUAUAAAGGAAAUUGUUUUAUGCAUAAUGGGUAUCUAUCUAUCUAUCAUCUAUCUAUCUAUCUAUCUAUCUAUCUAUCAUCUAUCUAUGUCAUUAUACCUGACUUUUUUUACCUUUUUAUUUAAAUAGUCAAACUCUGCCACAACCCACUUCCAUUCAGGCAUUCUUUCUUUUUCUUUCUCAUGUUUGGCCAUGGUGGUAAGGUUAUCAGUAAAAUAGUAAGAUGUUUACUUAAAACAAUUAAAGACAAGUCAUCCCAUUUUUCAGUGUUUUCCAAUGUCUAUCUAUUUUAAGUGGAUAGCUGUUUUUCACAUAUAGAAUAAAGCUAAUGUUAUUUGCUUGAACUUUCCAAGAGAAAGGAUAAUAAGAGAUGAUUCAGAAUAUUUUUUUCUAGGCUUUGUUGUUUUCCCAUUUGAUCUGAGUUUAUUUUAUCCUGACCUGACAACCUCAUAGAUUCUUUCAAAGUCUACCAGAACAGAGGAAAAUAUCCCUUAAAAUAUUUUGAUAUUGUGUUUCUCUGAAAGACCUUUUCUUUUUUUAAGCUUUUUUUUUUUUUUUUUGAUUCAUCAUCAAUCUAAGGAAUAAUCUAAGUUCAUCUUUGGUGGCAGGAAUUGCUAGUUUAUUCAUUUAUUUAUUUAGAUGUUGGUUUCAUUACUUCUCAUUUUUCCUGUAAACAAUGGCAGGGUAUUGCUUUUUCACUAAGUGGACAUUCCAAAAACAUCUGUUUUCUAACUGGAUCAUCAAUAUGUUAAUUCUUCCAAAUAGAUUUUGAAAGUAUUCUCUGAUGUACCCAGUCAGUGUAAUCAUUUUCAUGAUGAUCCUUCAAGAUAAUCUAUUUUAUCCCUGUUUUCUAAUUAAAACACUUUGCCUGAGAAUUUAGGGCUUGUGAGUUCAAAGAUGAAAAAAUUGAUUACUAGAUUUAUUUUCAUUGUUAUUUUGAAAGCAAUGCACCUCUCAAACCCUUAUACAUGUUCCAUAAUGCAGAAGUUCUUCUUAAAGAUGCUAUAGCCUAAUAUAAAAACUAUGUGGACAAGUAUGUGAAAUAUGUACUACAUAUAUCACAUUAUUCAUAAAUAAUAACCCAAUCAAAAUUGGUUGUGCAUUAACUUGGAAAUUGCCAUCUCUGAGCACACAAACUCCAUUUUUCUACUUUCUUAGAAAGAAAAAAAUGAUGAGAAAAUUGAGUAACGUUCCAGAAAUCCAAAGGGAUAUUGAACUUUUUUUUUUUUUUUAAUGAAGGACAAGCUAUUUUUUCACACUCUGGAAGCAUCCAUAAGCAUACUAACAAAAUAUUGGUAGAUCGCUUAUAACCGCGAUAUCAUUUUAAGAAAACUAGCUCAAUACUUGACAACUGCAAAUUAAUUAGGUCAAUGAUAUAAAUUUAAAGUAUAAGUUACCUUGUAAUUCAUAUUUUUCUCAUCUUCAUACUUCUCCAUCUUUUUAAGACUCGGGACUAAUCAGGACAAAUAAUUCAGAUUAUUAUUAGAAAUUAUUGUAAGUUCUAUGCCUUUGGGAAAUUGUUAUUUAUUUAAACAAAUUAGAUGAUCAGUGUAGCUCUUCCAAUUACUUGUGAACUACGUGGAAGGAAGAGAGGCUCACAAGCUGUUUUAAUUAGUAACAACAAUAAGGGAUUCUACAGCCCUAGAAUGAAUGCUAAAAAGAGAUUUGGGGGCACAAAUAUAGAUCCAUUCAAAUGGGUUUGACUCUGGAUCUGGUAAGCAAUGAGAGAAGAAAAUCUGGGAAAUAGGAGAAAAACAGUCCUGUAGAUGAGAUAGCCUAGUGAGUGAUAAGAGCAGUGGCUGAGGAAAGUGAUCCUUCUCUGCAGUGUUACAGGAAGCUCUGUCAUCUCUAACUCUGGGUUUUCCAAUGUUUCCUAUAUGGAAGCACUUUAUAUUUCUUUGAAAUUAUUAUAUUGCCACUGAGUAAUGGAAAUCCCUAACUACUGUGCAGUAAAUUAGUUAGAGGGGAUUAGAUAACAAUGCUAGUCACUGAUGUGGGUAGAGGUCCAUGCAAGAUGAGAAUUCAGAGGGUGAAAAUUGCUGACAGACACAUAAUCAAAAGAUUGUAUAUUAGUUUAAUAUUACACUGUAAUGAAUUUUCACAAAUGUAGUGGCUUCAGAGAACACAAACUUAUAUUACACUUCUGGAGAUCAGAAGUCCAAAGUGGGUCUUGCGGGACUACAAUCAAUGUAUUGUCAGGACUGUGUUCCUUCUAAAAUUUCUAGGAGAAUAUUUGUUUCUUUGCCUUUUAUACUUCCUAGAGACCACUUGCAUCCCUUGGCUCAAAGCCCUUCCCUCCAUUUUCAAAGCCAGCAGUAUAGCAUCAUCAAAUAUCCCUAAUUAUGACCUCUUCCUCUACCUUGCAAUUACACUGGGAUAACCUAGAAUCUAAAGUCAGCUGAUUAGUAAUGUGAUUCUAUUUACAACUUUAAUUCCUUUUUCCAUAUGAUCUAACAUAUUUAUAGCUUCCUGGAAUUAUCACAUAUGUAUAUUAUGUAUCACACAUGUAUCACAAAUGUAGCAUUAUUCUGCUACAGCCUGGAAAACAAUGGUGGAAUGAGAUCAAUUAUGAUACCUUCACCCUGGGUAAGGAAAGCAUUUGAAAAAUAGAGGAGGCAUUUUGGAAAAUAUCAUGAAGUAAAUACUGCAUGGAAACAAUAGUGUUACCAGGAGAACAAAAGAGACAAAUUUGAGGGUGCAAACAACCGGGGACUCAAGGAGGAUUGUGCAUUAAAAUCAGUGAAAAAGGUAAAAGUGUGUGCAUGGUGUUAGGUAAAAAUGAUAGAAUUUGGUAAAUAAUUUUUUGAGAAUAACAUUACAAGCAAAUUGAAAGUUAAUAGAAUUCUUCAAAUUAGAGUUUUGAGUAUAAAAAUUUUGCUUUCCACUUAUUUUAUAGUUAUAUUAUUUCAUUUUAUGAUAGCAUAGUCUUUAUUAGAGAUUCUUACCUAGAUAAUAUAGGGCAUUUAACGAGCAUUUAAUCUGGGCCCUGAAAAUUCAGCAUUGAGGUUUUCAAAGGAAAAGUCUGGAUAACCAGAGCCUUACAAACAAAAACAAAAGCAAAAAAACAAACACACAAAAAAACAAUCAAAAACCACCUCAGCUCUAGUUCUUUCCAAUGAGUUUCAGGUGGAGGGAAAAGCCCUAGUUUCCAUUUUAAAGCUGGAUCUCUGAGAAUGAUUACGGUUUCAAGUGAAUAUCACAAGUCAUGAAAAAAUCGUUGGCUGGAAAACAAUCUGGAAAUAGCAACAGCAGUAAAAGUAGAUAUGCUCUAGAGAGUGUAUGUCAUUAAAUUAUUCAACAUCUUAAUUACAUUUCCUUUCUCUAUCCGAGAGUCUACUAGGAAAUAUCCUGCGACUGUUGUCAUUGCUUCCUAAUGAUUAAAAUGUCAAAAUAGAUAUUUUCUGUGCUGUAUUUUCUGAGCUGUUUUUUAUGUGUGUGUGUGUGUGUGUGUGUGUGUGUUAUAAUGAGGUACACAAGUGUCAUAUCAGCUAAAAUGUGAAAUAUCCAAAAGCACUAAGUUCUGAUAUACAAAUAUUUGGCCCUGAAAUCUAAAACUGAGAGAUAUUAAAGGGGUUGUUGUGAUCAUUUCUUUAAAGUUCCUGGAACAGCAUAUGCUCUUUUGUCUGCUGUCAGGAGUUCCUGUCAUGGUGCAGCGGAAACAAAUCCGACUGGGAACCAUGAGGUUGCAGGUUAGAUCCCUGGCCUCACUCAGUGGGUUAAGGAUCGGCAUUGCUCUGAGCUGUUGUGUAGGUUGCAGACACAGCUCAGAUCUGGCAUUGCUGUGGCUGUGGUGUAGGCAGGCAGCAAGAGCUCUGAUUAGAUCCCUAGUCUGGGAACCUCC